Long non-coding RNA from Astatotilapia calliptera (eastern happy), 1338 nucleotides. The record is from Ensembl. Lineage: Eukaryota; Metazoa; Chordata; Actinopteri; Cichliformes; Cichlidae.
GAGAGCGAAAGGAGAAAACGGUGAAAAGAGUCAAAGGGAGAAGACGGUGAAGACUGGAGUGUGCUCGGAGCACAGCGAUGCCUCCAUCUGCUAUGAGCCACACUCUUCUUUGAUGGAAUAUCCCGGACAGCGGAGGGCAGAAGGAGGGAGAAGAAAAAGAAGGAGAAGAAGAAGAAUAACAGGACUGAGAAGACGGGACGGCCAGCGCUCGCCUCAGGAGGCUCCAUCCAAGCUCAUUGUCCUCUCAAACGCGCACACACCUCGCCACUGAGAGUGUUGCGUACACGUGCGUGCAUGAGGACGGGGGUGUGUGUGCGGCCGGUCUUUCUACGCAGCAGCGCAGCCCGGCACCAGCUUUCACUCUGAGGUUCACGUAGAUGCGGUGCAUCAGAUAGGACAUGCCCUUCACCUGCGCCUGCUUCUGUGGCCUUAAUGGCUUCUGCCGCAGACGGAGGAAGAAGAAAAGUGAUCAAGUGGAGGAUGAGGAGUGUGAAGAGGUAGAGCAAUGGAGGGAUCAGGAGACACAGGUGUGACAGCAUUGCUGUCAGCCCAGCUGUCUUCGCCUUUUCUGUGGGAUUUAUCCCUAAUGGACCGAAAUGUGUGGCCUGGGUUAUCACUGCUCAGGACAGCCUCCACUGUCUGGUAUGCUGCCUGGCGACAUUAUAACAGAGAUGGUAAAGGGGGUUCAACGAGCACAGGCUUUUAUUUAAAGUUAAAAAAAGAAAAGAAAGAAAAGGUGGUUUCGAAUCAGGUACUGUAUUUUUCCCAGAGUAUCGGUGACUAACACUUCUUCUUUUGUACUUUUUAACCUGGCUAAACUCAACAAGCACAAGGCUGUCUUGAGCCACGCUCUUCAAGUUGAAAAUAAAAGCCUGCGAACUCCUCGCUCAUGCCCAUUACACAUCCCUGCAGCACUCUCAUUUCUCCCUUGGCAGCUGACUGAGAACUUUGCUUUUGCUGAUGUGAUUCCAAAAAAAGAGAAAAAAAAUCGUAUCUGUUUGAUUAAUUUCUUGCCAUAGCUGGCGUUCCUCACAAGGUGCGAAGAGGCGAUGGACUCUAGAAAUCCAUUAUUUUUCUGAGUCGCACUCCUCACCGCUCCUCCGCGGGGGCUGAAUUAGAGCCAAAGCUCGACUGAGCUCUGCACCUCCUCACCUACCUGCUUAUGUCAGAUCAACUUAGUGAAAACUUCAGCUGAGUGAGAAAGUGUGCAGUAAUUUCCAGAGUCACCCAUGGAGGGCCGGAGCCCAUCUCGGCUUUUCACGCUGCGCUGGGCUCCAUCUAAAGCCAAGCAGCUGUCCAAUCAGCAGCUUAGCUGGAGUGUGAAGAUAGGAGUCAGGG